RNAcentral lists this ribosomal RNA (220 nucleotides) under uncultured Glomeromycotina. RNAcentral describes it as "partial 28S ribosomal RNA". Lineage: Eukaryota; Fungi; Glomeromycota. The record is from RNAcentral.
AAAAUGAUUGGGGGAAGGUAGCUCUUUCGGGAGUGUUAUAGCCUUAAUUAAUGUGAUAUUUGGGAUCGAGGAUUGCAACGGAUACCUUUUUUUAGGCUAGCCCCUGGCCUCUGAUUCGAUGUCGGGUUAUAGACAGCAUGCUGACUAUGAUCUGAUUAUUGUCAAAAGGUUAGAGCGAGCAUAAAUUCGUUAAGGACGCUGACGUAAUGGCUUUAAACGA